GUAUUUCAAUACUCCUGGUUUUUUUUCGAUCGCAUCAACUUGCUAAUGCCCGGCAAACAUUUUUAUCAUUAUAUUGUCGAAACGUCACGCUAACAUCUCGGCAACAGUAAAUGUUUCGCCUGUGGACGAUGCAGGACAACGUUUUAUUUAUAACGUUAUUUCAACAUAUAAGUAACGUAGCAAUCAAUUUUGCAUUAUGACAUAUUCUUGUUGCAAAAACCUCACAAAUGAAUCGUUCCUCAUGUUAAUAAACAUUACUGUCAGUAUGUAGGUUAAUAGUAUGUAGAUAUAAUAGUUAAGUAUACGCGUGUCGUUCGCGCAUUCAGAAUUAUUUUCCUCGAAACCUACUGCUUGAUUUAAAAAUUGGUUGCCAGCCACUCUUUAUUACCUUGUACAAACCCGAGAAAAGGCGCAGAUUAUGUCGUUUUCAACACGUCCUCAGAAUUCAACGGCAGUGACAGCGAUGCUCUGUCCGAGGAAGCGAUUUCUUGAGAAAAAAUUUGGAAGGAAGCUUAUUCUUCAUCAAGUUAAGCGCGUUAUAUCCGUUGACACCAAGUUUAAAUACAAUGAGUGACAGUCGAUCAGAUCGCUGCUUUCGUCUCAUGUGUACGCUGAGGUAUUUCUAUUGUUGGUUGAAGAAACAUUCGCUAAAUAUCAUAAUUCGGGGGACAUGCUGUAAAAGAUAAUCAACAAAUCUCACAUCAAACGCACCAAUUUAUGAAUUGCUGCUAUGAAUGCCAGUUUUUGCUUUUCUACAUUUAAAAGAUGCCACAAAGUUUUAUGGAUCUUUUAUUUUUUUAAGUCCUAUUCUUUUUGGCAAGUUUAUUUUAUUCUUAAAGA
Long non-coding RNA from Odontomachus brunneus, 840 nucleotides. RefSeq lists it as uncharacterized. The record is from RefSeq and is a predicted model, not a curated record. NCBI's taxonomy places the organism in Eukaryota, Metazoa, Arthropoda, Insecta, Hymenoptera, Formicidae. The transcript is spliced from 3 exons.